Molecule: ribosomal RNA, 1321 nt
Filed under: metagenome
Description: bacterial LSU rRNA
Rfam family: Bacterial large subunit ribosomal RNA
Source: RNAcentral
AAAAAGCCACUAAGCUUCAGCUACACACGACCGUACCGCAAACCGACACUGGUGCGCGAGAUGAGUAUUCUAAGGCGCUUGAGAGAACUCAGGAGAAGGAACUCGGCAAAUUGACACCGUAACUUCGGAAGAAGGUGUGCCUUUAGUAGGUGAAGUCCCUGCGGAUGGAGCCCAAUGAGGUUGCAAAAAAUCGGUGGCUGCGACUGUUUAAUAAAAACACAGCACUCUGCAAACACGAAAGUGGACGUAUAGGGUGUGACGCCUGCCCGGUGCUGGAAGAUUAAAUGAUGGGGUGCAAGCUCUUGAUUGAAGUCCCAGUAAACGGCGGCCGUAACUAUAACGGUCCUAAGGUAGCGAAAUUCCUUGUCGGGUAAGUUCCGACCUGCACGAAUGGCGUAACGAUGGCCACACUGUCUCCUCCUGAGACUCAGCGAAGUUGAAAUGUUUGUGAUGAUGCAAUCUCCCCGCGGAAAGACGGAAAGACCCCAUGAACCUUUACUGUAGCUUUGUAUUGGACUUUGAACGGAUCUGUGUAGGAUAGGUGGGAGGCUUUGAAGCAGGGUCGCUAGAUCUUGUGGAGCCAACGUUGAAAUACCACCCUGGUGCGUUUGAGGUUCUAACCUAGGUCCAUUAUCUGGAUCGGGGACAGUGCAUGGUAGGCAGUUUGACUGGGGCGGUCUCCUCCCAAAGCGUAACGGAGGAGUUCGAAGGUACGCUAGUUACGGUCGGACAUCGUGACGAUAGUGCAAUGGCAUAAGCGUGCUUAACUGCGAGACUGACAAGUCGAGCAGAUGCGAAAGCAGGACAUAGUGAUCCGGUGGUUCUGUAUGGAAGGGCCAUCGCUCAACGGAUAAAAGGUACUCUGGGGAUAACAGGCUGAUACCGCCCAAGAGUUCAUAUCGACGGCGGUGUUUGGCACCUCGAUGUCGGCUCAUUUCAUCCUGGGGCUGUAGCCGGUCCCAAGGGUAUGGCUGUUCGCCAUUUAAAGAGGUACGUGAGCUGGGUUUUAAACGUCGUGAGACAGUUUGGUCCCUAUCUUCCGUGGGCGCUGCAGAUUUGAGAAAGCCUGCUCCUAGUACGAGAGGACCGGAGUGGACGCACCUCUGGUGUAUCGGUUGUCACGCCAGUGGCAUUGCCGAGUAGCUAAGUGCGGAAGAGAUAACCGCUGAAAGCAUCUAAGCGGGAAACUCGUUUCAAGAUGAGAUCUGCCGGGGCCUUGAGCCCCCUAAAGAGUCGUUCAAGACCAGGACGUUGAUAGGUCAGGUGUGGAAGCGCAGUAAUGCGUUAAGCUAACUGAUACUAAUUGCUCGUGCGGCUUGAU